UAUCUUGAAAACGUGAAGCUGCAAUAAUGUGGUGAGGGCGGGAACGUUGGACGUUGGAGAGGAAGUCAAGCCGUUUUUCCUUCUGCAGAAGACAUUUUGAAGGGGAUGCGAUUGUGCAUGCAAACGCAAAAGACGAAAAAUUAGCUCCACCAACUAGAAAAAUCUGUAAUAUGUCUAUAGACAGUGAGAGUGCAGGUUAUAAGUAUGCUGAAGGACUGAUGACCAACAAAGCUUUUGGGAUAGCCAUCAAAAACCAUGCAGGCAAAACAUGAUUACCAUUUGGUGAUUCUUCUGGACAAAAUGCAACAGGACGAAGAAGAAGAAGAUGACUGUAGGGAGAGUGUGCAGGACAACCUACAGCAACUUUGCGAGGCUGCCCUGCACCCUCAAAUAAACAGAGAAAACAUAGUGGAAGAAUGCAAGAUAGCAAGCAGGAUCAACUCCAAAGAACUGACUGGACAAUGUAUAGAUUUAUAAUAGAAAAAUUUAUCUUAAUCUAUCAGAAAAUUUUAAGUCAGGUUAUCCAAGAAGACCCAGAAGUGACUACGAAUGAAUUGUUAAUCAGGAGGAAUUUUUGUU
Lingula anatina is the source of this 579-nucleotide long non-coding RNA. Lineage: Eukaryota; Metazoa; Brachiopoda; Lingulata; Lingulida; Lingulidae. The record is from RefSeq and is a predicted model, not a curated record.